GACGAACGCUGGCGGCGUGCUUAACACAUGCAAGUGGAGCGACGAACCAGGGCUUGCCCUGGGGCAGAGCCGCGAACGGGUGAGUAACACGUGGGUUACCUACCCCGAUGACCGGGACAACCCGAGGAAACUCGGGCUAAUACCGGAUGUGGUCUUCGGACGAAAGGAAGCUUCGGCCUCCGCAUCGGGAUGGGCCCGCGGCGCAUUAGCUUGUUGGGUGGGGGUAACGGCCUACCAAGGCGACGAUGCGUAGCUGGUCUGAGAGGACGAUCAGCCACACUGGGACUGAGACACGGCCCAGACUCCUACGGGAGGCAGCAGUGGGGAAUCUUGCGCAAUGCGCGAAAGCCUGACGCAGCGACGCCGCGUGAGGGAUGACGGCCU
Molecule: ribosomal RNA, 384 nt
Filed under: uncultured bacterium
Lineage: Bacteria
Description: bacterial SSU rRNA
Rfam family: Bacterial small subunit ribosomal RNA
Source: RNAcentral